CAGAACAUUGGGCCAGCUUAUUUCAAGCUCGCUUCGCUCCUUGAGCGAUUCAAUCUGAGUGCUUGGUUUGGGUGGGGGUGGUGCAACGCCAUCAUCAUCUGAC
RNAcentral lists this transfer RNA (103 nucleotides) under compost metagenome. Its description in RNAcentral is "tRNA-Lys". The record is from RNAcentral.